GUUUCCCUACUCCUAUCUCCUUUUACGUUAUUAAUCGCGCUGCCCUUCCCUUCUUUUGUUGUUUGCCACCAUUAAGGAAUCAAAAGGCUCUUUGUGAUGUGCAGACGCAGGAAGACAUCAGCUUCUCGGUGAUAUACAUGCAGAUGGAGAGAGAAAAGCCAAAAAAAACAUGAAGGAAAGCUUCCUGUUCAUCCCUGUAAGGACUUUUCAGCACUUAUGUGUCGGGAAAGACUGGGAAUCAAAGAGGAGGAUGUUUAAUAUCUGGCAGAAGCUACACAACCCGUCUGCCGCCGCUCCUACAUGUCCCCUUCGUGACUGCAUUCGGAGACAAAGGACCGCUUUCUCUUUUUGGAGAAAAAAACAGAGUGACACAUAGCUGACAACGACUGUGCAUGCUUGCCAGUAGCAGUAGUGCUGCUGUCAGUGUCCGACAAGGAUGCAGUCGAGAUGCAGUGGAGUUUGACACAAGUGACUUUUUUCAGCAAGAAGACAAGAGCCGGAACAAUGACUCGAAAUGGACUUUUCAAAAGACCAAUGUCCCUUUUUCAUGGACUCGUGAGCGUCAAUAGGUGGACAGGUCAAAGGUCAGCAAGGUCAGCAUGAACACAAUGGCCUCAAAGCUGAAUUUGUUCUCGAUGCUCACAUGAUCAGCAAGUGUACCUUGAGCACUAUCAGUGUGCCUUUUAAUUACAACUCUCGCAACAGGCUAUGCAGAAAUGUUCCAAAUUUUAGAACCAGCUUUCUGUAUGAUGCAUUUGUAAAUGAUCUCAAACUCACAAAAACUAUCCAUCCAUUUCCUGUACUUUUUAUGCCGUUUUAGGACAUAGGGAACCCUAAACUGGUUGCCUGCCAAUCCCAGGCAACCCUUUUACACCGUCACUGAGUAGGAACUGAACUGAACUUAGCCUGCGAGUCAACCACUAAACCGUGAGUGACUCCGUUUUCAAUAUUAAUGAUUGAAUGACUGAUGGGAUCGGAGUGAAUUGCAGAAAUAGAACACACUGCAAGUCGUAUAAAAAGCCUUCUUUACAUGCAAGAAUCAGGGAGAAAUAAUAUUGUCCUUGCCUGCUCAAGUUUGUUGAAGAAACUUAACAGUUUCCAGUUUUUAUUGUUCGUUGAUUAUGGAAUAUUAGUAAAUACACAAUAUGAAAGUGAUGAAAUGUUGGGAAUUUUAUUGAGUUAACUAAGCAUUUGAUUCUCUACAAGUCAACCAGAAUUCUGGCUCCCAAGAGAGUGGCUGGUGUCCAUGUGAAACACAGCUGUGCGCCAUCUUGCUGAGAUGAGUUGCAAAAGCCUCAGCAAAAGACUCCAUGGGAAGGUGAAAACUGUUGCGUCACAAAAUGACCUCGAUCGGUCUGGGGUCUGGAGCUCCUUGAUCUUGUCUUAUGGAGCGAGGAGGGUCGUGAGAAAGAUAGGAGAGUAGCCUCAAAGUACAUGCAGGAACGUGUUGAAUGGACCUCAGCCGCUGAUCAGGGACUGAAAUCUUCAAUUAGGUCCCCUUGCUCAAGCAGGCUCCUAGGAGGCAUUAUGACUCAGAGAAGUCUUGGAAGACAAUGCAGGCAUCAAGGGGGGAAAGAAUGGCAACUAGCAGUUUGGAGACGUGCUGCCGAGAUGCCCUCCAGCAAGGCAUCGUCACCACCAGUCAAGCUCCAUUGGUUAGCGCUUUUGGGGACAUCUUUCACUCUGAAGCGCUCCUUCUAUUGCAGUAUCCAUCCAUCUGAAACGAGGAGGGUUUUUUGGGUGUGGGUGCUGAGGGUGUGCGACUUUGCAGAGAAGCUAACCCUUCCUGACCGUUGACAGAUACGACGUGUGACGUGGGACGUAGUAGGCAGCGUCGUCACCGAGGUGGCCUGAUGAUAUGAUUCAGCACACGCCAGCAGCUAUUUCUGUACUGUUUGUCUGUACUGGACUAAAUAAAUGAGACUGUCAUUUCGGAAGAGAUAGCUUAAGUCUGCACAAAGUUGACCUUUUCAUUUUGUUUCCUUAGUGAAAGACGGUGACUUGAAACAAUAAACACCUCUAUCUCCAAAUAAAUACAUUUCAUGAUUACUUGUGUUUUAACUAACGGUCUUGUGUCAACCGUCGAGACCUUCAAGUUCUUGGGAAUUACAGUCUCACGGGACCUGAAGUGGGAGACGAACAUCAACUCCAUCCUCAAAAAAGCCCAGCAAUGAAUAUACUUCUUGCGGCUUCUGAGGAAACACGGCCUGUGGCGCGAGCUGCUGAGACAGUUAUGCACAGCAGUCAACCAAUCAGUACGGUGUACCUCCACUAAGGGGCUGCCACAAAAAAGGAUAAACUCCAACUGCUACGGACAAUCAAAAUAGCUGAACGGAUUAUCGGCACCACGCUACCCACUAUUGAGGACUUGCACGCAACGCGAACUAGGUCAAGAGUGAGCAGGAUGCUUACAGACCCUCCACAUCCUAGCCACCAGCUCUUCCAGCUCCUUCUGUUGACUAUGUGCUACAGAUCAAUGCAAGUCAAAACUAGCAGGCAUUUGAACAGUUUUUUCCAUCUGGCAAUUAAGUCAUUUAACUCUUGAUCAGCGAAGCUACGAGUUUCUGCCUUGUGCCCUUGUUGGGACACACCCUCAGAUCCUGCUCGUCAAAUCCGUAUUAGCAUUAGUAAUAUAUUCUUUAGACUAUCGCACGAUUCAUCACUUUAAACUGCUCCCUUUGCACAAUUGUCAUUGCACUGGUUUAUAACUGGAACCACGAACGUGUAAGGGCACGCUGUACAUUAGCUUAACAUAAUGUGGAGCACUGACUGACUCUUAACUGUUCCAAAUGAAGAAGACUGUGCAUCUUGUACAUCUGUAACUGAAUGUCUCGUCUUUGUUCUUAUUAGUGUGUUUGUUCCUUGUUCUGAAUGUCGUACCAGGGCAGCACCGACUUGCUGGAGACAAAUUUCAUGUGUGUUGUUACAUACUUGGCCAUUAAAGCUGAUUCAGAUUGGGGUUUUAUGAGCAUGUAUCUGUAGCCAGGAAUCUUCACCGAGUCUAAAAACAAAAUAAAAAAAAAAUAAAAUAAAAUAACUAACCCCCCCCCCACACACACACACACACACAAUUAUCUCAAGCCGUAACAAAGGGCUUAGCAUUCACCUGCAGUCACUAAAUAAGCUGUUGACUGAUCCCAUUUACGAGUGUUCAAAACCGAGUUGAAAGUGUUAACAGUAUUGUGUUAACAGGAAGGAGGUUGGAGAUAAGAUACGAGGCAAUCCUUAAGCAGCAGCACUCCCAAAGACAAACACAGCGGAGUUUAUUCUUCUCUAUCCAACUCAGAUUUGUUUUGUUGCGGUGGCAUUGUUCGACGGGCCAGCAAGGGGGUGUGGGCUCUUUGAAAAGAAAAGAAAAAAAACGCCAGUAUUUACAUUGUGCUUUCCAAGAACCAAAAUGUAUUUUCCUCAACAUGAUGUAGGAUGUUUAGAAUGACAAAAAAAGAAAAAAAAUGUCUUGUCAGUUUGCCAUGUUGUGAGGAAUUGUGGGGAUAGUUUUCUUUUGCAUUUGUUGAGCUGGAUCUGACCUAUCCAGACCAUUGGGUUACGUACGUGCAUGUGUGCAUUGUAUGUGAUAUUGGAGGUGCAGUGAACACAUGCUUUUUUUUGAGGGGGGGGGGGGUGGACUGGACCAGAUUGUGACGAGCAACAUUUCACAGAUAAUACACACCCAUGCCAAAUGCUUCCAAAAACACAUUUUUACAGAAGCAAGGAUAAAUCACCAAAGAGCAUUUUUGGGGGUUGCUUAUCCCCAAAAAAGUAAAAAAGAGAGACAUUAAAAAGAUUAUGAAAUGAGUGAAUUGGUGAAUCCGUGGGUGCAGAACCACAAGUAUGCUGGGGUCCACUGUUUACCCUAACUGCCAAACAUCUGAAGGAUAACAAGACAAAUGAUCAUAAAUUCACAUAAAUUACCAAAUUUGCUUUCCAAAAUCUCUCUACGAUGUAAUCUUUGUUUUUUUUCCCCUCCAGACUUAUUUUUGAUCAAAGAACAAAUUACAAACACUGACCAAAAUACAUCACCUAAACAAAUGGGACGAUCUGUGCAGUGCCUGUGGAAUUUAACAACCGAGUAAACAUUUAUUUAUAAAAGUGCGUCCAUAAGCGAGCCAGCCUCUGCUCAAUAAAUGCCUCAGCCAUGAUACGAUCACGUGGGCUGGGCAAAGAUCCGAGCAACGUUCAAGCGAUGACCGGAGUGUCGUUUGGUGUAGUGUGUUGUAUGAAUUGCUGUCUCCACGAGUUCAAAUACUUCAUUGUUCUGAUUGGUUUUCCCU
Syngnathoides biaculeatus (alligator pipefish) is the source of this 4271-nucleotide long non-coding RNA. RefSeq lists it as uncharacterized. Lineage: Eukaryota; Metazoa; Chordata; Actinopteri; Syngnathiformes; Syngnathidae. The transcript is spliced from 3 exons. The record is from RefSeq and is a predicted model, not a curated record.